RNAcentral lists this transfer RNA (74 nucleotides) under Triticum dicoccoides. RNAcentral's name for it is "tRNA tRNA-Val". It matches the Rfam family "tRNA". From Rfam's summary of the family: Transfer RNA (tRNA) molecules are approximately 80 nucleotides in length. Their secondary structure includes four short double-helical elements and three loops (D, anti-codon, and T loops). The record is from RNAcentral. Lineage: Eukaryota; Viridiplantae; Streptophyta; Magnoliopsida; Poales; Poaceae.
GUCUGGGUGGUGUAGUUGGUUAUCACGCUAGUCUCACACACUAGUGGUCCCCAGUACGAACCUUGGCUCAGACA